RNAcentral lists this ribosomal RNA (253 nucleotides) under uncultured bacterium. RNAcentral describes it as "partial 16S ribosomal RNA". It matches the Rfam family "Bacterial small subunit ribosomal RNA", at positions 524 to 776 of the family's 1533-position model. The record is from RNAcentral.
UACGUAGGGGGCAAGCGUUGUCCGGAAUUAUUGGGCGUAAAGAGCGCGUAGGCGGUCCGAUAAGUCGGCUGUGAAAGUCAUGGGCUCAACCCAUGAAAGCCGGCCGAUACUGUCGGACUAGAGUUCGGAAGAGGCAAGUGGAAUUCCCGGUGUAGCGGUGAAAUGCGCAGAUAUCGGGAGGAACACCAAUUGCGAAGGCAGCUUGCUGGGACGAUACUGACGCUGAUGCGCGAAAGCCAGGGGAGCGAACGGG